AGGAAAAUUUGUUGAAUUUUCAAGAAAUUGGUGACUAAAGGUGGUGAGCCCUCGAAUAAGGGCAAAGGUAUUGCACCCGAGGAUCAAGACUAGGAGUGUUGUAAAUUCCCGUCAAAAUGAGUUCAGGAUAAUUUGUAGGCAGUCGAUUUCAUCAAGGAUUUCUUUUUUACUUACUUCCUUGAAAAUUGUAGGUCUACAUUCUUGCACACUUUUGGUUAU
This is a non-coding RNA of Theobroma cacao (cacao), 219 nucleotides long. NCBI's taxonomy places the organism in Eukaryota, Viridiplantae, Streptophyta, Magnoliopsida, Malvales, Malvaceae. The record is from RefSeq and is a predicted model, not a curated record.